RNAcentral lists this ribosomal RNA (443 nucleotides) under uncultured bacterium. Its description in RNAcentral is "partial 16S ribosomal RNA". It matches the Rfam family "Bacterial small subunit ribosomal RNA", at positions 338 to 795 of the family's 1533-position model. The record is from RNAcentral.
CCUACGGGGGGCAGCAGUGGGGGAUAUUGGACAAUGCGGGGAACCCUGAUCCAGCGACGCCGCGUGAGUGAAGAAGUAUUUCGGUAUGUAAAGCUCUGUCAGCAGGGAAGAAAGAAAUGACGGUACCUGACCAAGAAGCCCCGGCUAACUACGUGCCAGCAGCCGCGGUAAUACGGAGGAUGCGAGCGUUAUCCGGAUUUAUUGGGUUUAAAGGGUGCGCAGGCGGAAGAUCAAGUCAGCGGUAAAAUUGAGAGGCUCAACCUCUUCGAGCCGUUGAAACUGGUUUUCUUGAGUGAGCGAGAAGUAUGCGGAAUGCGUGGUGUAGCGGUGAAAUGCAUAGAUAUCACGCAGAACUCCGAUUGCGAAGGCAGCAUACCGGCGCUCAACUGACGCUCAUGCACGAAAGUGUGGGUAUCGAACAGGAUUAGAUACCCCUGGUAGUC